GGCUCUUUGUAAUCUUAAAAAAUAAGGAGUCCGACCUGCCCUGUGUUUAAAUUAACGGCUGCAAUGAGAAUUGUACUAAGGUAGCGUGAUAAGUUGUCUUUUAAUUGAAGAAUGGUAUGAAUGGUUUGAUGUAAAAAAGCUGUCUUUAUAAAAGCUUAUGAAGUUUCCUUUUAAGUGAAAAGGCUUAUAUAUUUAUAAAAGACGAGAAGACCCUGUCGAGUUUAAUUAAGAUUUAAUAAGAGAUUAUUAGUUUAAAAUUUUAUUGGGGCAAUAUAGGUUAAUUUAGCCAUCUAUCAAUAAGGUAGAGAUCCUUUAAGAGAGAAAAGAGCAAAAACUACCGCAGGGAUAACAGCGUUAUCCUUUUUAAGAGAUCUUAUUGAGAGAAGGGUUUGCGACCUCGAUGUUGGAUUAGAAAAACUUUAUGGUGCAGCAGCUAUAAAUAGUAAGACUGUUCGUCUUUUAAUUUCUCA
RNAcentral lists this ribosomal RNA (470 nucleotides) under Dosinia lupinus. RNAcentral's name for it is "partial 16S ribosomal RNA". It matches the Rfam family "Bacterial large subunit ribosomal RNA", at positions 1816 to 2599 of the family's 2925-position model. The record is from RNAcentral. Lineage: Eukaryota; Metazoa; Mollusca; Bivalvia; Venerida; Veneridae.